Pelobates cultripes (western spadefoot toad) is the source of this 462-nucleotide non-coding RNA. The record is from the annotation of a GenBank genome assembly. Lineage: Eukaryota; Metazoa; Chordata; Amphibia; Anura; Pelobatidae.
GGCCAGUCAAAAACAGAGUACAAUAAAGCUGGCUCAGGCUUAUGCAAUGAAUGUUCACAUACCAGAACUAAAUUACUGUUGCUUUUUAAAAACGUUGUGACAUUGAAAGCAAGUUUGUAAGGAUGUGCAAUUAAUUUCAGUCAAAAAUGAAAUUCGGAUAUUUAAGGAUACCACAUUAGGAUGCUAUUUGGGAGAUAGCAUCUUUAUUGUUUUAAUUUGUAUCAUUAUUAUAAUCCCACAUAAGGACCACAAAUUCAGGAGUUAUCUACGAAGCAGCUCAACAUUCUUACUUUUCUUACUCUUUCCUAGAGGAAAACUAUGUCAGGAAUACUCCUCAGACUAUACUUUUAAAAUUGCCGUUAAGGGCCAGGCCCUCCUCGGCUAACUUUAAAAAUGUGUAAAACUCACUUUUUUCCCAUGCCUCUCCCGCGCUUUAUUUUGCUUGGAUUAUCUAUCUUAAUU